UCGCCUGUUUAUCAAAAACAUAGCCUACUAUUUAACUUAGGUACAACCCUGCCCUCUGACUUUUAACAGCCGCGGUAUCCUAACCGUGCUAAGGUAGCAUAAUCACUUGCCUAUUAAUUAUAGGCUAGAAUGAACGGGAUCACUCACUUAAACUUAUUUUUAUUUAAAUUUAAAUUAAACUUUAAGUCAAAAUACUAAAUUAAAAAGAAAGACAAAAAGACCCUGAAAACUAUUAGAAAUAAUUAGUUGGGGCAACUAUAGACCACUCUAGCGUCUAUUUUUUUUAACUCUUAAAAUCUAAAGUAUCCAGUUACUUCAGGGAUAACAGACUAAUUUUAUUAUUUAGACCCAAUAAAUAAUAAAGAUUGGCACCUCGAUGUUGGCUUAUAUUUCCUUCAUAUAGCAACAUAUAUAGAAGGCAGCUUGUUCAUCUGUUAAAUAUUUACAUGAGCUGAGUUCAGACCGGCGUAAGC
RNAcentral lists this ribosomal RNA (473 nucleotides) under Stygocapitella sp. 169_14. Its description in RNAcentral is "partial large subunit ribosomal RNA". It matches the Rfam family "Bacterial large subunit ribosomal RNA", at positions 1796 to 2626 of the family's 2925-position model. The record is from RNAcentral. Lineage: Eukaryota; Metazoa; Annelida; Polychaeta; Parergodrilidae.